CACAUCGCCGUGCAGAGGAGUGCCUCCUGCAGCACGGAAAAGGACGUGGAAGGAGGGAGGAAACGCCUCUGGUCAGGGCAGCUCUGAGGCUGCCGGGCCGCUUUGGGCCACGGGUGUUUUUCUCAUGCAACGAACAGCCUUUGAGAAGAUCGGUCCUGGAGCGGCUCCCCGCCCGGCAGCGCAGGCAGCUCAGGUUUCGUGGCUGCAGAGGCAAACAGGAGCUUCUGUUGAACAACAUAAAGCUGGUGGGAGGAGGAGAAAGCCGCUGCUGCUAGCUGGGUCCUCGCGCUCAUUUGGGAAGUUGAACCUUUUGGUAAUGAAAACUUCUUUCUGAUGAAACAGCCAUUAUUUUUGGCAGUAACACAGCAAUGGCUCUGAUCUGAGGAGCUCCAGCCAGCUCAUCUGCCGUAGGUGGAACUGAUGCCGAGGCUUAGCUCCGUGCUUGGAUUUGUCAGUGCUUGCUCACGUUUGCUCCAGUCCCCGUGCAAACCCCCUGCGAGGUGCUCAGCUUGGUGUGCUCCAGGAAACCACCGCCUCUACUGCCAUGGACAGAGAUGAACGGGGCAAUGCCCAUCUCAGCUGUCACUUUACCAGUCAGGUGGCUUUGCACUGUGCCAGGCAGGAUCAGAUGAGCUGUGCCAGCAGUGACAGCAGCAGGUUGGAAAUGGGGCUCUCGGUACUCGCAGGUCUCCGGGAGCAGAGCUGGUGCUGCCCGCGCUGCGCAGCGGUGUCGGCUUCCCAAGGAGGAGCCGCUCUUAAUGCCCGCAGCCACGGGUGGCUGCUGACGGGAGAGGGGCUGCCACAAAGGUCACUUCUUGAGGGAAGAGAACCCUAAAAGCACUCCGAGCACGAGCUCCUCUCUCCCAGGAGGUUAAGCCUGGAUCUGAUCCCUCUCGGAUGAGGUUGGGGUGAUUUGCCUGGGGGAGGUUUUCACCCAGCAGCCCUUCCAGUACCGCAGGUGUGCACAGUGUGACUGCGGGGGGCUUUGGGCAGUGGGAAUUCAGCCCCACCUCUUUG
Molecule: long non-coding RNA, 1017 nt
Organism: Gallus gallus (chicken)
Lineage: Eukaryota; Metazoa; Chordata; Aves; Galliformes; Phasianidae
Source: Ensembl